UACGGGGGGGGCAAGCGUUGUUCGGAAUUACUGGGCGUAAAGGGCUCGUAGGCGGCCAACUAAGUCCGACGUGAAAUCCCCAGGCUUAACCUGGGAACUGCGUCGGAUACUGGAUGGCUUGAAUCCGGGAGAGGGAUGCGGAAUUCCAGGUGUAGCGGUGAAAUGCGUAGAUAUCUGGAGGAACACCGGUGGCGAAGGCGGCAUCCUGGACCGACACUGACGCUGAGGAGCGAAAGCCAGGGGAGCAAACGGG
RNAcentral lists this ribosomal RNA (253 nucleotides) under uncultured bacterium. RNAcentral's name for it is "partial 16S ribosomal RNA". It matches the Rfam family "Bacterial small subunit ribosomal RNA", at positions 524 to 776 of the family's 1533-position model. The record is from RNAcentral.